CCUACGGGGGGCAGCAGUGAGGAAUAUUGGUCAAUGGCCGGAAGGCUGAACCAGCCAUGCCGCGUGAAGGUCAGUGCCCUAUGGGCGUUAAACUUCUUUUGUGCGGGAGCAAUAAUGGUCACGUGUGGCCAGAAGAGAGUACCGUACGAAUAAGAAUCGGCUAACUCCGUGCCAGCAGACGCGGUAAUACGGGGGAUGCAAGCGUUAUCCGGAUUUAUUGGGUGUAAAGGGGGCGUAGGGUGUGAGGUAAGUCAGCGGUGAAAUGCCCCCGCUCAACGGGGUGAAGUGCCAUUGAUACUGGCUUGCUGGAAUGCGGAUGCCGUGGGAGGAAUGUGUGGUGUAGCGGUGAAAUGCAUAGAUAUCACACAGAACACCGAUUGCGAAGGCAUCUCACGAAUCCGCGAUUGACGCUGAUGCACGAAAGCGUGGGUAUCAAACAGGAUUAGAUACCCUGGUAGUC
Molecule: ribosomal RNA, 460 nt
Filed under: uncultured bacterium
Lineage: Bacteria
Description: partial 16S ribosomal RNA
Rfam family: Bacterial small subunit ribosomal RNA
Source: RNAcentral